UACGAAGGGGGCUAGCGUUGUUCGGAAUUACUGGGCGUAAAGCGCACGUAGGCGGAUAUUUAAGUCAGGGGUGAAAUCCCAGAGCUCAACUCUGGAACUGCCUUUGAUACUGGGUAUCUUGAGUAUGGAAGAGGUAAGUGGAAUUGCGAGUGUAGAGGUGAAAUUCGUAGAUAUUCGCAGGAACACCAGUGGCGAAGGCGGCUUACUGGUCCGGAACUGACGCUGAGGUGCGAAAGCGUGGGGAGCAAACAGGG
RNAcentral lists this ribosomal RNA (254 nucleotides) under uncultured bacterium. Its description in RNAcentral is "partial 16S ribosomal RNA". It matches the Rfam family "Bacterial small subunit ribosomal RNA", at positions 524 to 777 of the family's 1533-position model. The record is from RNAcentral.